This 864-nucleotide ribosomal RNA is filed under the name uncultured fungus. RNAcentral's name for it is "eukaryotic LSU rRNA". The stretch from base 592 to 864 matches the Rfam family "Eukaryotic large subunit ribosomal RNA", at positions 1 to 266 of the family's 3401-position model. The record is from RNAcentral. Lineage: Eukaryota; Fungi.
CAUUAUUGAAAUAAACCUGAUGGAUUGCUGCUGGUUUGUUAAUGAAUAUGUGCACAUCUAUCAUUUUUAUAUCCACCUGUGCACCUUUUGUAGACUCGGAUACAUUUCUUAAUGCUAGCAUUGAGGUUUAAGGAAUUGACUUUGGUCUGUUCUUACAUUUCUGAGUCUAUGGAUAUUUCAUAUACUCUGUGUUGUAGAAUGUAAUAAGCUGGGCCUUUGUUGCCUAUAACAUUAUACAACUUUCAGCAACGGAUCUCUUGGCUCUCGCAUCGAUGAAGAACGCAGCGAAAUGCGAUAAGUAAUGUGAAUUGCAGAAUUCAGUGAAUCAUCGAAUUUUUGAACGCACCUUGCGCUCCUUGGUAUUCCGAGGAGCAUGCCUGUUUGAGUGUCAUUAAUAUUCUCAACCCUUCAGCUUUUUUUUGCUUGUUGAGUGUUGGAUGUGGGGGACUUCUUGCUGGUCUUUUAAGAGGUCAGCUCCCCUAAAAUAUAUUAGCAGAACAAUUUGUUAACCGUUCAUUGGUGUGAUAAUUAUCUACACUAUUGGCGCGAGGCAAGUUCAGCUUCUAAUAGUCUAUUGACUUUUUAUUAAUGUGACCUCAAAUCAGGUAGGACUACCCGCUGAACUUAGGCAUAUCAAUAAGCGGAGGAAAAGAAACUAACAAGGAUUCCCUUAGUAACUGCGAGUGAAGUGGGAAAAGCUCAAAUUUAAAAUCUGUCAGUCUUUGGCUGUCCNAGUUGUAAUCUAGAGAAGUGUUAUCUGCACUGGACCGUGUACAAGUCUCCUGGAAUGGAGCGUCAUAGAGGGUGAGAAUCCCGUCUCUGACACGGACUACCANGGCUUUUGUGAUGCGCUCUCAAAGAGUC